This 247-nucleotide ribosomal RNA is filed under the name uncultured Melghirimyces sp. RNAcentral's name for it is "partial 16S ribosomal RNA". It matches the Rfam family "Bacterial small subunit ribosomal RNA", at positions 796 to 1041 of the family's 1533-position model. The record is from RNAcentral. Lineage: Bacteria; Bacillati; Bacillota; Bacilli; Caryophanales; Thermoactinomycetaceae.
CACGCCGUAAACGAUGAGUGCUAGGUGUUGGGGGCUUUCAUGCCCUCUGUGCCGAAGGCAACCCAAUAAGCACUCCGCCUGGGGAGUACGGCCGCAAGGCUGAAACUCAAAGGAAUUGACGGGGGCCCGCACAAGCGGUGGAGCAUGUGGUUUAAUUCGAAGCAACGCGAAGAACCUUACCAGGGCUUGACAUCCCGCUGACCGGUGUAGAGAUACACCUUCCCUUCGGGGCAGCGGUGACAGGUGG